RNAcentral lists this ribosomal RNA (240 nucleotides) under uncultured Lactobacillus sp. RNAcentral's name for it is "partial 16S ribosomal RNA". It matches the Rfam family "Bacterial small subunit ribosomal RNA", at positions 122 to 355 of the family's 1533-position model. The record is from RNAcentral. Lineage: Bacteria; Bacillati; Bacillota; Bacilli; Lactobacillales; Lactobacillaceae.
UAACCUGCCCAAGAGAUCGGGAUAACACCUGGAAACAGAUGCUAAUACCGGAUAAUAACAGAUGAUGCCUAUCAACUGUUUAAAAGAUGGUUCUGCUAUCACUCUUGGAUGGACCUGCGGUGCAUUAGCUAGUUAGUAGGGUAACGGCCUACCAAGGCGAUGAUGCAUAGCCGAGUUGAGAGACUGAUCGGCCACAUUGGGACUGAGACACGGCCCAAACUCCUACGGGAGGCAGCAGCA